UACGAAGGGGGCUAGCGUUGUUCGGAAUUACUGGGCGUAAAGCGUGCGCAGGCGGUUUUGUAAGCCCGAUGUGAAAUCCCCGGGCUUAACCUGGGAAUGGCAUUUGGGACUGCAAGGCUUGAGUGCGGCAGAGGAGACUGGAAUUCCUGGUGUAGCAGUGAAAUGCGUAGAUAUCAGGAGGAACACCGAUGGCGAAGGCAGGUCUCUGGGCUGACACUGACGCUCAUGCACGAAAGCGUGGGGAGCAAACAGG
Molecule: ribosomal RNA, 253 nt
Filed under: uncultured bacterium
Lineage: Bacteria
Description: partial 16S ribosomal RNA
Rfam family: Bacterial small subunit ribosomal RNA
Source: RNAcentral